This 390-nucleotide ribosomal RNA is filed under the name Skeletonema sp. RNAcentral describes it as "partial small subunit ribosomal RNA". It matches the Rfam family "Eukaryotic small subunit ribosomal RNA", at positions 582 to 975 of the family's 1831-position model. Lineage: Eukaryota; Bacillariophyta; Thalassiosirophyceae; Thalassiosirales; Thalassiosiraceae. The record is from RNAcentral.
AUUCCAGCUCCAAUAGCGUAUAUUAAAGUUGUUGCAGUUAAAAAGCUCGUAGUUGGAUUUCUGGCAGGAGUGACUGACCACAAACUCUGUUUGUGAGUUGUGUCAUUCUGGCCAUCCUUGGUAAGAUCCUUUUUGGCAUUAAGUUGUCGGGAAGGGGAUGACCAUCGUUUACUGUGAAAAAAUUAGAGUGUUUAAAGCAGGCUUAUGCCGUUGAAUAUAUUAGCAUGGAAUAAUAAGAUAGGACUUUGAGUCUAUUUUGUUGGUUUGCGAGUCAAAGUAAUGAUUAAUAGGGAUAGUUGGGGGCAUUCGUAUUUAACUGUCAGAGGUGAAAUUCUUGGAUUCGUUAAAGACGGACUACUGCGAAAGCAUUUGCCAAGGAUGUUUUCAUCA